GACAGAGGUGCCGAGCGUUAGGCGGAAUCACUGGGCUUAAAGCGUGUGUAGGCGGGUCCGUUAAUACCUUGUGAAAUCCCAUGGCUCAACCAUGGAACUGCUUGGUAUACUGCGGAUCUUGAGCCACCUAGGGGCAAGUGGAACAAACGGUGGAGCGGUGAAAUGCGUAGAUAUCGUUUGGAACGCCAAUGGUGAAAACAACUUGCUGGGGGUGUGCUGACGCUGAGACACGAAAGCCAGGGGAGCAAACGGG
RNAcentral lists this ribosomal RNA (253 nucleotides) under uncultured bacterium. Its description in RNAcentral is "partial 16S ribosomal RNA". It matches the Rfam family "Bacterial small subunit ribosomal RNA", at positions 524 to 776 of the family's 1533-position model. The record is from RNAcentral.